GAGUUUGAUCCUGGCUCAGGAUGAACGCUAGCGGCAGGCUUAAUACAUGCAAGUCGAGGGGCAGCAUGGUGUAGCAAUACACUGAUGGCGACCGGCAAACGGGUGCGGAACACGUACAGAACCUUCCUUCGAGCGGGGAAUAGCCCAGAGAAAUUUGGAUUAAUACCCCAUAGCAUAACAGAGUGGCAUCACUUUGUUAUUAAAGAUUUAUCACUUGAAGAUGGCUGUGCGGCUGAUUAGGUAGUUGGCGGGGUAACGGCCCACCAAGCCUGCGAUCAGUAACUGGUGUGAGAGCACGACCAGUCACACGGGCACUGAGACACGGGCCCGACUCCUACGGGAGGCAGCAGUAAGGAAUAUUGGUCAAUGGACGAAAGUCUGAACCAGCCAUGCCGCGUGGAGGAUGAAGGUCCUCUGGAUUGUAAACUUCUUUUAUCUGGGACGAAAAAAGGUCUUUCUAGAUCGUCUGACGGUACCAGAUGAAUAAGCACCGGCUAACUCCGUGCCAGCAGCCGCGGUA
RNAcentral lists this ribosomal RNA (520 nucleotides) under uncultured Sphingobacteriales bacterium. Its description in RNAcentral is "bacterial SSU rRNA". It matches the Rfam family "Bacterial small subunit ribosomal RNA", at positions 9 to 522 of the family's 1533-position model. The record is from RNAcentral. Lineage: Bacteria; Pseudomonadati; Bacteroidota; Sphingobacteriia; Sphingobacteriales.